Molecule: ribosomal RNA, 237 nt
Filed under: uncultured bacterium
Lineage: Bacteria
Description: partial 16S ribosomal RNA
Rfam family: Bacterial small subunit ribosomal RNA
Source: RNAcentral
CGGGACGGGGUGGAGUAAUGUCUGGGAAACGUGCCUGAUGGAGGGGGAUAACUACUGGAAACGGUAGCUAAUACCGCAUAACGUCGCAAGACCAAGAGGGGGGACCUUCGGGCCGUCUUGCCAUCGGAUGUGCCCAGAUGGGAUUAGCUAGUAGGUGGGGUAACGGCUCACCUAGGCGACGAUCCCUAGCUGGUCUGAGAGGAUGACCAGCCACACUGGAACUGAGACACGGUCCAG